UGGGAAAUAUUGGACAAUGGGGACAACCCUGAUCCAGCCACGCCGCGUGAGUGAUGAAGGCCUUCGGGUCGUAAAGCUCUGUGGGGAGGGACGAACGUCCCGUUGAAGAAACGGGGGUGACGGUACCUCCUUAGCAAGCACCGGCUAACUUCGUGCCAGCAGCCGCGGUAAUACGAAGGGUGCAAACGUUGCUCGGAAUCAUUGGGCGUAAAGCGCACGUAGGCGGCGCUGUAAGUCGGACGUGAAAUCCCUCGGCUCAACCGAGGACGUGCAUCCGAAACUACAGUGCUCGAGUAUGGAAGAGGGUCGCGGAAUUCUCGGUGUAGAGGUGAAAUUCGUAGAUAUCGGGAGGAACACCAGUGGCGAAGGCGGCGACCUGGGCCAAUACUGACGCUGAGGUGCGAAAGCGUGGGGAGCAAACAG
This 423-nucleotide ribosomal RNA is filed under the name uncultured bacterium. Its description in RNAcentral is "bacterial SSU rRNA". It matches the Rfam family "Bacterial small subunit ribosomal RNA", at positions 355 to 775 of the family's 1533-position model. The record is from RNAcentral.